Molecule: ribosomal RNA, 653 nt
Filed under: Gordonia sp. (in: high G+C Gram-positive bacteria)
Lineage: Bacteria; Bacillati; Actinomycetota; Actinomycetes; Mycobacteriales; Gordoniaceae
Description: bacterial SSU rRNA
Rfam family: Bacterial small subunit ribosomal RNA
Source: RNAcentral
GCAUGGUGGGUGGUGGAAAGCUUUUGCGGUUGAGGAUGGGCCCGCGGCCUAUCAGCUUGUUGGUGGGGUAAUGGCCUACCAAGGCGACGACGGGUAGCCGACCUGAGAGGGUGAUCGGCCACACUGGGACUGAGACACGGCCCAGACUCCUACGGGAGGCAGCAGUGGGGAAUAUUGCACAAUGGGCGCAAGCCUGAUGCAGCGACGCCGCGUGAGGGAUGACGGCCUUCGGGUUGUAAACCUCUUUCACCAGGGACGAAGCGUGAGUGACGGUACCUGGAGAAGAAGCACCGGCCAACUACGUGCCAGCAGCCGCGGUAAUACGUAGGGUGCGAGCGUUGUCCGGAAUUACUGGGCGUAAAGAGCUCGUAGGCGGUUUGUCGCGUCGUCUGUGAAAUUCUGCAACUCAAUUGCAGGCGUGCAGGCGAUACGGGCAGACUUGAGUACUACAGGGGAGACUGGAAUUCCUGGUGUAGCGGUGAAAUGCGCAGAUAUCAGGAGGAACACCGGUGGCGAAGGCGGGUCUCUGGGUAGUAACUGACGCUGAGGAGCGAAAGCGUGGGUAGCGAACAGGAUUAGAUACCCUGGUAGUCCACGCCGUAAACGGUGGGUACUAGGUGUGGGUUCCUUUUCACGGGAUCCGUGCCGUAGCU